GUUUUUUAAGUCUGCUGUGAAAUCCCCGGGCUCAACCUGGGAAUGGCAGUGGAUACUGGAAAGCUAGAGUGCGGUAGAGGGUAGUGGAAUUCCCGGUGUAGCAGUGAAAUGCGUAGAGAUCGGGAGGAACACCAGUGGCGAAGGCGGCUACCUGGACCAGCACUGACACUGAGGCACGAAAGCGUGGGGAGCAAACAGGAUUAGAUACCCUGGUAGUCCACGCCCUAAACGAUGCGAACUGGAUGUUGGGUGCAACUUGGCACUCAGUAUCGAAGCUAACGCGUUAAGUUCGCCGCCUGGGGAGUACGGUCGCAAGACUGAAACUCAAAGGAAUUGACGGGGGCCCGCACAAGCGGUGGAGUAUGUGGUUUAAUUCGAUGCAACGCGAAGAACCUUACCUGGUCUUGACAUGUCCGGAACCUUGCAGAGAUGCGAGGGUGCCUUCGGGAAUCGGAACACAGGUGCUGCAUGGCUGUCGUCAGCUCGUGUCGUGAGAUGUUGGGUUAAGUCCCGCAACGAGCGCAACCCUUGUCCUUAGUUGCCAGCACGUAAAGGUGGGAACUCUAAGGAGACUGCCGGUGACAAACCGGAGGAAGGUGGGGAUGACGUCAAGUCCCCAUGGCCCUUACGGCCAGGGCUACACACGUACUACAAUGGUCGGUACAGAGGGUUGCAAUACCGCGAGGUGGAGCCAAUCCCAGAAAGCCGAUCCCAGUCCGGAUCGAAGUCUGCAACUCGACUUCGUGAA
RNAcentral lists this ribosomal RNA (748 nucleotides) under uncultured Lysobacterales bacterium. RNAcentral describes it as "bacterial SSU rRNA". It matches the Rfam family "Bacterial small subunit ribosomal RNA", at positions 578 to 1324 of the family's 1533-position model. Lineage: Bacteria; Pseudomonadati; Pseudomonadota; Gammaproteobacteria; Lysobacterales. The record is from RNAcentral.